Molecule: non-coding RNA, 31 nt
Filed under: Homo sapiens (human)
Lineage: Eukaryota; Metazoa; Chordata; Mammalia; Primates; Hominidae
Source: RNAcentral
UGGCCAAGGAUGUUGCUAAAUACCCUACAAU